Molecule: ribosomal RNA, 254 nt
Filed under: uncultured bacterium
Lineage: Bacteria
Description: partial 16S ribosomal RNA
Rfam family: Bacterial small subunit ribosomal RNA
Source: RNAcentral
UACGUAGGGUGCGAGCGUUGUCCGGAAUUAUUGGGCGUAAAGAGCUCGUAGGCGGUCUGUCGCGUCGGUCGUGAAAACUUGGGGCUUAACCCUGAGCUUGCGGUCGAUACGGGCAUGACUGGAGUUCGGCAGGGGAGACUGGAAUUCCUGGUGUAGCGGUGAGAUGCGCAGAUAUCAGGAGGAACACCGGUGGCGAAGGCGGGUCUCUGGGCCGAUACUGACGCUGAGGAGCGAAAGCGUGGGGAGCGAACAGG